Long non-coding RNA from Helianthus annuus (common sunflower), 834 nucleotides. RefSeq lists it as uncharacterized. Lineage: Eukaryota; Viridiplantae; Streptophyta; Magnoliopsida; Asterales; Asteraceae. The record is from RefSeq and is a predicted model, not a curated record. The transcript is spliced from 2 exons.
UAAUUAUUUAUCACAUGCAAGUCACAUGCUGGGUAUUUUUGUAAUUCUCCUCCACUUUAAAUCUAAUUUCUAUUAUGAUCUUCAAGAACCAUCAUCAUUUGCAUCUUUUUAUCCUUCCCCUCUUCACUUUCUUAAAACCCUAGCCCCAACUUCCGUAUUUUUUUUCAACAACACACACCUUACUCCACCAAAAACCUUUACUCCACCAAAUUUUGCCGGCGUCUCAUCUCAUCUCUCAUGGCGUCCCCGCCGCCAACCGUUCGAUGAAAUGUCUGAAUGGUUUCACAAGCUGAAGUUUGGUUUAACCUUAACCGUUGAUGCCUACAACGCCUCUAGCAAGAAUUAUCUUGCUUAAUUUGACUGCUUCAGUGCAAAAUUCGUAAACCCCCAAUCUGAAACUGAAAUGUGGGUUUUGGUCAGGGAUGAUGAUGAUGGUCGAAGGUGGUUAUGUUCUUGAAGAUCUGGGUUUGAAGAUGAUGAUAUGUUCUUGAAGAUCUGGGUUAGAAGAUGAUGAUGUGGAGAUGAUAGAAAUUAGAUUUAAAAGGGAUGAGAAAUUACAAAAAUACCCAUCAUGUGACUUGCGUGUGAUAAAUAAUUAACUAGGAUAAGGGAUGGAGUUAGACUCAGGGGCCAAAAUAGUUAGUUAUAGAGACUAUGAAGACACAGAUGUUAAAAAAUCUUAUUUUGGGCUAAUAUAGUAAAAAUGAUAUAAUCACAUAGGCCAAACUCAUAAGUUACUCUAUUAAUUAAAAUCAUCUAAACUGAUAUUAGUGUUUAAAAGAAAUUCCCUUGUAUUAAUUAUCAAAAUCUACUUCCUCACAUAUUUACUAUUCC